GGUCCAGUAAGGGCCUAUUUUGGCCUCAAAUUUCAGGUUCAUCUAACGAAAGAUUUUGGACACUUUUUAAACACUUAAGUGUCUAUUUCAAUUGAUUCGAUUAAUUUAUGUGAAAGAUUUUAACUGAUUUAGUCAUUACCAACGCUCCAAUCCAAGCUUAAAUAUGAAAAAUCUAUCAAAUAUGCCAAAAACGCAUCACUUUUCUGAUGGUUUUUGUCAAAAAUGAUAGUGGCCGCAUUCGUGUUCAUCCUCAAUCUUUAUAUAUGUUAUGUAAUAUCAUCAAAUACAACUAACAUUUCAAUAUUAUGAAUGAACAUGAAUGCGGCCACUUUCAUUUAG
RNAcentral lists this long non-coding RNA (339 nucleotides) under Mytilus galloprovincialis (Mediterranean mussel). The record is from RNAcentral. Lineage: Eukaryota; Metazoa; Mollusca; Bivalvia; Mytilida; Mytilidae.